GAUGAACGCUGGCGGCGUGCCUAAUACAUGCAAGUCGAACGCAUAGCGAAAGGUGCUUGCACCUUUCAAGUGAGUGGCGAACGGGUGAGUAACACGUGGACAACCUGCCUCAAGGCUGGGGAUAACAUUUGGAAACAGAUGCUAAUACCGAAUAAAACUUAGUGUCGCAUGACACAAAGUUAAAAGGCGCUUCGGCGUCACCUAGAGAUGGAUCCGCGGUGCAUUAGUUAGUUGGUGGGGUAAAGGCCUACCAAGACAAUGAUGCAUAGCCGAGUUGAGAGACUGAUCGGCCACAUUGGGACUGAGACACGGCCCAAACUCCUACGGGAGGCUGCAGUAGGGAAUCUUCCACAAUGGGCGAAAGCCUGAUGGGGCAACGCCGCGUGUGUGAUGAAGGCUUUCGGGUCGUAAAGCACUGUUGUAUGGGAAGAACAGCUAGAAUAGGAAAUGAUUUUAGUUUGACGGUACCAGACCAGAAAGGGACGGCUAAAUACGUG
Molecule: ribosomal RNA, 497 nt
Filed under: uncultured bacterium
Lineage: Bacteria
Description: partial 16S ribosomal RNA
Rfam family: Bacterial small subunit ribosomal RNA
Source: RNAcentral